AGAAUCAACGCUGGCGGCGUGCCUAACACAUGCAAGUCGAACGCGAAAGCCCCGCAAGGGGCAAGUAGAGUGGCAAACGGGUGAGUAACACGUGGGUGACCUGCCUUCGAGUGGGGGAUAACGUCCCGAAAGGGACGCUAAUACCGCAUGACAUCCUGCCUUUGGAGAGGCGGAGAUCAAAGCUGGGGAUCGCAAGACCUAGCGCUUGAAGAGGGGCCCGCGCCUGAUUAGCUAGUUGGUGAGGUAACGGCUCACCAAGGCUACGAUCAGUA
RNAcentral lists this ribosomal RNA (272 nucleotides) under uncultured soil bacterium. Its description in RNAcentral is "partial 16S ribosomal RNA". It matches the Rfam family "Bacterial small subunit ribosomal RNA", at positions 26 to 285 of the family's 1533-position model. The record is from RNAcentral.